UCCCGCCUGCCCAGUGACUUUUUAAACGGCCGCGGUAUCCUAACCGUGCAAAGGUAGCAUAAUCACUUGUCCCCUAAAUAGGGACUAGAAUGAACGGCUAAAUGAGGACAAAACUGUCUCUUACGGACCAACCAAUGAAAUUGAUCUUCCAGUACAAAAGCUGGAAUAAAUCCAUAAGACGAGAAGACCCUGUGGAGCUUUAAAACCAAAACCACUAAAUAUGCUUCUUGGUUUUUUAGUUGGGGCGACUUUGGAGAAAAAACUAACCUCCAAAAAAAUAAAUCUAUUUAUCAAGAAUAAUACACCAAAAAUAAUCAAAUAGACCCAGCAACAUUUUUAUGUUGUCUGACCAAUAAACCAAGUUACCCCAGGGAUAACAGCGCCAUCCUCUUCUAGAGUCCCUAUCGACAAGAGGGUUUACGACCUCGAUGUUGGAUCAGGACACCCCUAUAGUGCAGCCGCUAUAAAAGGUUCGUUUGUUCAACGAUUAAAGUCC
This 496-nucleotide ribosomal RNA is filed under the name Podarcis hispanicus (Iberian wall lizard). RNAcentral's name for it is "partial 16S ribosomal RNA". It matches the Rfam family "Bacterial large subunit ribosomal RNA", at positions 1853 to 2596 of the family's 2925-position model. The record is from RNAcentral. Lineage: Eukaryota; Metazoa; Chordata; Lepidosauria; Squamata; Lacertidae.